GUUGGCCUACGGGGCGCAGCAGUGAGGAAUAUUGGUCAAUGGGCGGGAGCCCGAACCAGCCAAGUCGCGUGAGGGAAGAAGGGACUGAGUAUUGUAAACCUCUUUUGCCAGGGGACAAAGGCGGCCACGGGUGGCCGUAAGAGGGUACCUGGAGAAAAAGCAGCGGCUAACUCCGUGCCAGCAGCCGCGGUAAUACGGAGGAUGCGAGCGUUAUCCGGAUUUAUUGGUUAUAAAGGGUGCGCAGGCGGCGUGACAAGUCAGCGGUAAAAUGUCGGGGCACAACCCCGGCCGGCCGUUGAAACGGG
Molecule: ribosomal RNA, 305 nt
Filed under: uncultured bacterium
Lineage: Bacteria
Description: bacterial SSU rRNA
Rfam family: Bacterial small subunit ribosomal RNA
Source: RNAcentral